AUAUCAAUAAGCGGAGGAAAAGAAACCAACAGGGAUUGCCUUAGUAACGGCGAGUGAAGCGGCAACAGCUCAAAUUUGAAAUCUGGCUUCGGCCCGAGUUGUAAUUUGCAGAGGAUGCUUCCGGCGACGUGCCUUCCGAGUCCCCUGGAACGGGGCGCCUGAGAGGGUGAGAGCCCCGUACGGUUGGACGCCGAGCCUGUGUGAAGCUCCUUCGACGAGUCGAGUAGUUUGGGAAUGCUGCUCUAAAUGGGAGGUAAAUUCCUUCUAAAGCUAAAUACCGGCCAGAGACCGAUAGCGCACAAGUAGAGUGAUCGAAAGAUGAAAAGCACUUUGGAAAGAGGGUUAAACAGUACGUGAAAUUGCUGAAAGGGAAGCGCUCGCGACCAGACUCGAGCCGGGCGGAUCAUCCAGCGUUCUCGCUGGUGCACUUCUCCCGGUCCGGGCCAGCAUCGGUUCUAGUGGGGGGACAAAAGCCCGGGAAAUGUAGCUCCCUCCGGGGAGUGUUAUAGUCCCUCGCCUAAUAUCCCCGCCGGGACCGAGGACCGCGCUUUAUGCAAGGAUGCUGGCGUAAUGGUCGCCAGCGACCCGUCUUGAAACACGGACCAAGGAGUCGAACAUUCGUGCGAGUGUUUGGGUGGAAACCCCUCACGCGUAAUGAAAGUGAACGGAGGUGGGAGCCUCGGCGCACCAUCGACCGAUCCUGAAGCUUGUCGGAUGGAUUUGAGUGGGAGCAUGACUGUUCGGACCCGAAAGAUGGUGAACUAUGCCUGCGUAGGGUGAAGCCAGAGGAAACUCUGGUGGAGGCUCGCAGCGGUUCUGACGUGCAAAUCGAUCGUCAAACGUGGGC
RNAcentral lists this ribosomal RNA (847 nucleotides) under Lulworthiaceae sp. Its description in RNAcentral is "partial large subunit ribosomal RNA". It matches the Rfam family "Eukaryotic large subunit ribosomal RNA", at positions 40 to 916 of the family's 3401-position model. The record is from RNAcentral. Lineage: Eukaryota; Fungi; Ascomycota; Sordariomycetes; Lulworthiales; Lulworthiaceae.